This 329-nucleotide unclassified non-coding RNA is filed under the name soil metagenome. RNAcentral describes it as "partial contains 5.8S ribosomal RNA, internal transcribed spacer 2, and large subunit ribosomal RNA". The stretch from base 1 to 120 matches the Rfam family "5.8S ribosomal RNA", at positions 35 to 154 of the family's 154-position model. The record is from RNAcentral.
GAUGAAGAACGCAGCGAAAUGCGAUAAGUAAUGCGAAUUGCAGAAUUCAGUGAAUCAUCGAAUCUUUGAACGCACAUUGCGCCCCCUGGUAUUCCGGGGGGCAUGCCUGUCCGAGCGUCAUUACAACCCUCAAGCUCAGCUUGGUAUUGGGCCCCGCCGACCCGGCGGGCCCUAAAGUCAGUGGCGGUGCCGUCCGGCUCCGAGCGUAGUAAUUCUUCUCGCUCUGGAGGUCCGGUCGUGUGCUCGCCAGCAACCCCCAAUUUUUUUCAGGUUGACCUCGGAUCAGGUAGGGAUACCCGCUGAACUUAAGCAUAUCAAUAAGCGGAGGA